Molecule: transfer RNA, 73 nt
Filed under: Nannizzia gypsea CBS 118893
Lineage: Eukaryota; Fungi; Ascomycota; Eurotiomycetes; Onygenales; Arthrodermataceae
Also listed under: 16 other names
Description: tRNA-Pro (CGG) (tRNA-Pro-CGG-1-1)
Rfam family: tRNA
About the family: Transfer RNA (tRNA) molecules are approximately 80 nucleotides in length. Their secondary structure includes four short double-helical elements and three loops (D, anti-codon, and T loops).
Source: RNAcentral
GCCCGGGUGGUCUAGUUGGUAUGAUUCUCGCUUCGGGUGCGAGAGGCCCCGCGUUCGAAUCGCGGCUCGGGCC